Long non-coding RNA from Hyaena hyaena (striped hyena), 896 nucleotides. RefSeq lists it as uncharacterized. The record is from RefSeq and is a predicted model, not a curated record. The transcript has 4 exons. NCBI's taxonomy places the organism in Eukaryota, Metazoa, Chordata, Mammalia, Carnivora, Hyaenidae.
UCCUGAAAACUGCUGCCAAGUGGCUGCCGCCCAAGAGACUGCAGAAUUUCUGGCACUAGGCAGAAUCGAUGGCUGCAGCCAAGUGAUUGUUGCUGAACUUACCUGUGUCGAAAGGUCAGCCUUGCGGUGCUAAGGCUGGGCACAAUCACUGAAGGCAAAUUGGAUUGUGAAUGGAGGCCCUGAGGCAUGUUCUGCACUUUGCAACUGGUCUGGCAGGCUCCUCCACCUCCUGAGUCUGCCACGGGCAUGGGAAACACCUGGGCAGUGACAAAGGCAGGUGGUGAGAAUCCUGGAGUGUGACUAAGUUGCCCCCAAAUGAUGAGAUGACCACUGUUCUUAUUGCAUCACACGACUCAAAACUGCAUUCAUAAUGGGCUUUGUGGCUGACUUGAUGUAACUGUGGAGAAAGGAAAUGAACAGGUGCCUGGUGAUCAAAGAUUCUGUGCUUGGUGAUUGUUUUGGAUGGGGUCCCUGCUUCUUGAGAAGCUGGGGCCAUCUCAAACUAAGGCAAGUAUGGGAAUAUUAGAUUUUCUUUUUUUGAUAAAGCAUAGAGAUGAAAACAGGAGAAGGGGGUGUCAUUAAAAUUAGAGAACCAGUCAGCCAUUUGGUGACCAUCGCGAGGCAAUGGGAAGAACAAGAGACCAGGAUGACGAGCUGGAUGGUGGUUUGGGAUGAGUUAAUUAACCUCCCUGAACUGCAGUUUUUAAAGUAUAGGUAGUGCUUCAUAUCAGUUUUCAAAGUCAGUUGAGAGUGGAGCAUGCUGCAUCUUCAUACUUGUCUUGCAGAAGCUCGUAACAUAGGCGUUGAAAGAGUCUGAACAUGGUGUGCCUGGGCGACUCAGUCCAUUAAGUGUCCGACUUCAGCUCAAGUUAUGGUCUCAUGGUUUGUGGGUUCAA